GCCGGAAAAUCGCUAUUAGAUGAGCCUAUGUUAGAUUAGCUAGUUGGUAGGGUAAAGGCCUACCAAGGCGAUGAUCUAUAGCUGGUCUGAGAGGAUGAUCAGCCACACUGGAACUGAGAUACGGUCCAGACUCCUACGGGAGGCAGCAGUGGGGAAUAUUGGACAAUGGGCGCAAGCCUGAUCCAGCUAUGCCGCGUGAGUGAGGAAGGCCCUAGGGUUGUAAAACUCUUUCAGUAGGGAAGAUAAUGACGGUACCUAUA
RNAcentral lists this ribosomal RNA (260 nucleotides) under Anaplasma phagocytophilum. Its description in RNAcentral is "partial 16S ribosomal RNA". It matches the Rfam family "Bacterial small subunit ribosomal RNA", at positions 202 to 483 of the family's 1533-position model. The record is from RNAcentral. Lineage: Bacteria; Pseudomonadati; Pseudomonadota; Alphaproteobacteria; Rickettsiales; Anaplasmataceae.